ACAGCAAUGGACACUUAUUAGCAAUAGAAAAAAACUCUCAUUGGCAAACAAAGCAAUACUUCCAACUACCUGGAAUUAGUGGAAGACAAGACUAAUGGGCACUAACUUUUUGUUUUCAGUAAUCAUACUUGACAUUCUUGGAUAUAACAGAAGGAGGAACAAAAUAAGAUUUGCCGCAAGUAAGAUGCAAAUAUUGACAUGAGAAGCAUAAUCAGUGAGAAAUAUUAACUGGUAUCUACUCCCUACAAGUGAGAUUCACACAGCAAGGCACGAGGGAUGAUAGAGACAUAAAGUAGAAGAAGCCUGAUUUCCAAAUCACUGAGUAAAGGAGAGCUUCCUAUUGCUCAGAAAUAUCUACCUCGGACUUUAAAUAAAACAGAGAUAAGAUUGUACGUGUUUGAGUCGAUUUGUUAUAGUAGUUUGGCCUAUCCUAUCUAAAACCACUAACAAAUUAAAAAUAACCCAAUGAAUAC
RNAcentral lists this long non-coding RNA (473 nucleotides) under Homo sapiens (human). RNAcentral's name for it is "HSALNT0205609". The record is from RNAcentral. Lineage: Eukaryota; Metazoa; Chordata; Mammalia; Primates; Hominidae.